Molecule: ribosomal RNA, 253 nt
Filed under: uncultured bacterium
Lineage: Bacteria
Description: partial 16S ribosomal RNA
Rfam family: Bacterial small subunit ribosomal RNA
Source: RNAcentral
UACGUAGGGGGCAAGCGUUGUCCGGAUUUAUUGGGCGUAAAGAGCGUGCAGGCGGUUCGGUAGGUCCGUUGUGAAAACUCGAGGCUCAACCUCGAGACGUCGAUGGAAACCAUCUAGCUAGAGUCCGGAAGAGGAGAGUGGAAUUCCUGGUGUAGCGGUGAAAUGCGCAGAUAUCAGGAGGAACACCCGUGGCGAAGGCGGCUCUCUGGUACGUGACUGACGCUGAGACGCGAAAGCGUGGGGAGCGAACAGG